RNAcentral lists this ribosomal RNA (218 nucleotides) under uncultured Geobacter sp. Its description in RNAcentral is "partial 16S ribosomal RNA". It matches the Rfam family "Bacterial small subunit ribosomal RNA", at positions 1165 to 1382 of the family's 1533-position model. The record is from RNAcentral. Lineage: Bacteria; Pseudomonadati; Thermodesulfobacteriota; Desulfuromonadia; Geobacterales; Geobacteraceae.
GGAGGAAGGUGGGAUGACGUCAAGUCCUCAUGGCCCUUAUGACCAGGGCUACACACGUGCUACAAUGGCCGGUACAAAGAGUUGCGAUACCGCGAGGUGGAGCUAAUCUCAAUAACGCCGGUCUCAGUUCGGAUUGGAGUCUGCAACUCGACUCCAUGAAGUUGGAAUCGCUAGUAAUCGCGGAUCAGCACGCCGCGGUGAAUACGUUCCCGGGCCUU